This 301-nucleotide ribosomal RNA is filed under the name uncultured bacterium. RNAcentral describes it as "partial 16S ribosomal RNA". It matches the Rfam family "Bacterial small subunit ribosomal RNA", at positions 509 to 808 of the family's 1533-position model. The record is from RNAcentral.
CAGUAGCCACGGUAAUACGUAGGUGGCAAGCGUUGUCCGGAAUUAUUGGGCGUAAAGCGAGCGCAGGCGGUUAGAUAAGUCUGAAGUUAAAGGCUGUGGCUUAACCAUAGUACGCUUUGGAAACUGUUUAACUUGAGUGCAAGAGGGGAGAGUGGAAUUCCAUGUGUAGCGGUGAAAUGCGUAGAUAUAUGGAGGAACACCGGUGGCGAAAGCGGCUCUCUGGCUUGUAACUGACGCUGAGGCUCGAAAGCGUGGGGAGCAAACGGGAUUAGAUACCCCCGUAGUCCCUGUCUCUUAUACC